UCCGCAUUAGUGUAGGGGUUAACAUACUCCGCUUUCACCGGAGAGCCCCGGGUUCGAUUCCCGGAUGCGGAA
Molecule: non-coding RNA, 72 nt
Organism: Blumeria graminis
Lineage: Eukaryota; Fungi; Ascomycota; Leotiomycetes; Helotiales; Erysiphaceae
Source: Rfam